This 492-nucleotide ribosomal RNA is filed under the name uncultured bacterium. RNAcentral's name for it is "partial 16S ribosomal RNA". It matches the Rfam family "Bacterial small subunit ribosomal RNA", at positions 29 to 507 of the family's 1533-position model. The record is from RNAcentral.
AGUGAACGCUGGCGGUAGGCCUAACACAUGCAAGUCGAGCGGAAGCACAGUAAGAGCUUGCUCUUACGGGUGGCGAGUGGCGGACGGGUGAGGCAUACAUAGGCAUCUUCUUUUUCGUGGGGGAUAACGUAGGGAAACUUACGCUAAUACCGCAUACGACCUACGGGUGAAAGCAGGAGAUCUUCGGACCUUGCGCGAUUGAAUGAGCCGAUGUCGGAUUAGCUAGUUGGCGGGGUAACGGCCCACCAAGGCAACGAUGCGUAGCUGGUCUGAGAGGAUGAUCAGCCACACUGGAACUGAGACACGGUCCAGACUCCUACGGGAGGCAGCAGUGGGGAAUAUUGGACAAUGGGCGCAAGCCUGAUCCAGCCAUACCGCGUGAGUGAAGAAGGCCUUCGGAUUGUAAAGCCCUUUUGUUGGGAAAGAAAAGCAGCAGGUUAAUACCCCGCUGUUCUGACGGUACCCAAAGAGUAAGCAACGGCUAACUUCGUG